UGCCUCGCCCUAUACAUCAGAUCUAGAUGUUCCCUCAUCAGUUGAUACGAGUAUCACCUCUCCAGAGCCCAAAUCAGUUGAUACGAGUAGUAUCACCUCUCCCAUUCCUUCAGACUCCCAAGCACCUGCCCAUCCCACUCCAUAGCCCAGCCACCCACUCUCAUGUACCAUAUGGCCAUCCCAGUAAGCAAGCCAACCACUAGAAUUUGACUGGCAUGCACCUGUGACUUACAUAAACCAGACCUCUACAUAGCCUACAUGUCUUCAUUUUGCUGAAGACUGCCCAUCAUCCUAGCCUGUUAUCUGUGAUAAAGCACACUGAAGUUAGGUUUGGAAUGCAUCCUUAUCAUGAAUGCUCUACACCUCCACCUCCAUCUCCCAC
Molecule: long non-coding RNA, 382 nt
Organism: Macrobrachium nipponense
Lineage: Eukaryota; Metazoa; Arthropoda; Malacostraca; Decapoda; Palaemonidae
Exons: 5
Source: RefSeq, a predicted model, not a curated record